GCCCCCAUAGUAUAGCCAGGAUAGAAUGCGAGGUUCCGGACCUUGAGACUUGGGUUCAAAUCCCAAUGGGGGCG
Molecule: transfer RNA, 74 nt
Filed under: Candidatus Iainarchaeum sp.
Lineage: Archaea; Nanobdellati; Candidatus Iainarchaeota; Candidatus Iainarchaeia; Candidatus Iainarchaeales; Candidatus Iainarchaeaceae
Description: tRNA-Arg
Rfam family: tRNA
About the family: Transfer RNA (tRNA) molecules are approximately 80 nucleotides in length.
Source: RNAcentral